This 371-nucleotide ribosomal RNA is filed under the name uncultured bacterium. RNAcentral describes it as "bacterial SSU rRNA". It matches the Rfam family "Bacterial small subunit ribosomal RNA", at positions 527 to 896 of the family's 1533-position model. The record is from RNAcentral.
GAACCGUGCGAACGUUGUUCGGAAUCACUGGGCUUAAAGGGCGCGUAGGCGGGUCGGCAAGUCCGGGGUGAAAUCCUCCAGCUCAACUGGAGAAGUGCCUUGGAUACUGCCGGUCUCGAGGGAGGCAGGGGUCUGUGGAACUUCUGGUGGAGCGGUGAAAUGCGUUGAUAUCAGAAGGAACGCCGGUGGCGAAAGCGACGGACUGGUCCUCUUCUGACGCUGAGGCGCGACAGCGUGGGGAGCAAACAGGAUUAGAUACCCUGGUAGUCCACGCCGUAAACGAUGGGCACUAGGUGCUUGGGGGAGCGACCCUCCGAGUGCCGGCGCUAACGCAUUAAGUGCCCCGCCUGGGGAGUACGGCCGCAAGGCUG